Cordylochernes scorpioides is the source of this 71-nucleotide non-coding RNA. Lineage: Eukaryota; Metazoa; Arthropoda; Arachnida; Pseudoscorpiones; Chernetidae. The record is from the annotation of a GenBank genome assembly.
UCCAGGGGCGGGAAUCGAACCCACACCCUUCUGCUUACCGGGCAGGUGCCUUGUCCACAAAUACGUCCAGG